GAUGAACGCUGGCGGCGGGCCUAAUACAUGCAAGUCGAACGCUGGAAAUCUAGCUUGCUAGAUUGAAGGAGUGGCGAACGGGUGAGUAAUACAUAAGCAACCUACCCACGAAGACUGGGAGAAUCUCUGGAAACGGGGACUAAUACCGGAUAGGUAAUCGGAAGGCAUCUUCUGAUGAUUAAAGGUUAAAAACACUGGUGGAUGGGCUUAUGGCGCAUUAGUUAGUUGGUGAGGUAACGGCCCACCAAGACGAUGAUGCGUAGCCGGCCUGAGAGGGUGAACGGCCACAUUGGGACUGAGACACGGCCCAGAAUGCUACGGGAGGCAGCAGUAGGGAAUUUUAGGCAAUGGGGGAAACCCUGACCGAGCAACGCCGCGUGAGUGAUGACGGCCUUCGGGUUGUAAAGCUCUGUUGUAAGGGAAGAACGGUAGAUAGAGAAUAUCUAAAUGACGGUACCUUACCAGAAAGCCACGGCUAACUACGUG
Molecule: ribosomal RNA, 486 nt
Filed under: uncultured bacterium
Lineage: Bacteria
Description: partial 16S ribosomal RNA
Rfam family: Bacterial small subunit ribosomal RNA
Source: RNAcentral